This 5373-nucleotide long non-coding RNA is filed under the name Vigna radiata. RNAcentral's name for it is "long non-coding RNA (VRAD_LNC008732)". The record is from RNAcentral. Lineage: Eukaryota; Viridiplantae; Streptophyta; Magnoliopsida; Fabales; Fabaceae.
AAUUAAAUUUUUUAAUUCUAAUUUAUAUUUUUAAAAAGUAUUUUUUAUACCAAAUACUUUUGAAAUUUUUAUUUUGUAAAUUACUUUUUAAAUAUAUUAAUAUAAAAAAUUGUGUACCAUACAUUACAAACUUUCCUCUCAAUACUUUCCUUUAAUCUAAAAAUUUUGCUUUCCUCUCGUUUCCUUCCUUUUUUUCACUCCAAAAUCCGGUCUUUAGUAACACAAGUGUCAUCAUUUUCUUCCCAUACUAGCCCCCACCCCUUUCCCCUACACUUCAUCCUUUCCAUUUUAUAUUAGUCUCGCGUUGUGCUCUUUCAUUCUUCAUGUCUUCUUCUUCAAAUAUUAGUCUCCCAUCUCUCUUCCCUGUUUUUUCAUCUUCUUCCUACACCUGUUUUGCACUUCUUUCUCUCUCUCUCUCUUCUUCUUUCUAAUAUGUAUCUUUAUUGACAAUAUUAAAUUGUGUAGUUUAGAAUAUGUUAUUUAUUUUAUAUUUUAAUUUUUUAUAUUCUGAAAGUCUUCAUAUUAAACAAUCAGAAACUAAAAGUGAAAAUUCUAAAUCAGAAGGUAAAUAUGAAAUUUUAGAAUUUACGAUGUUGUGAUUGAAACUAUGGAAUGGAAGUGCAGGAAGAAACUACCAUGAUUUAUAUGCUUAAAUAGGUCGUUGGUUAUAUUUUUGGGAAAGUUCAUCUUUUUUUCGCAUUUGUCAAGAUUCAAAGCCCAAAACCAACGACGACUCAGUCCUAAGAUACUCCAAUUUGAGAGGUGCUCCUUCCACACCACAACCUUCUUCCUACACUUCCCUAAUUUAUAUUUUUUCCAAAAAUAUCUUUAGAUUAAUUUUUUUUUUUAACUUUUUAUAUUUUUAAUUAAAAAUCUUAGCAUGGGUUUGUUUGCGAAGAUUUACUGCAGGUACAUAUUAGCAGAGAUGGAUUUGAAUGAAUUUAUAUAUUUGGUUAUGUGGAUUGCAAACAAGUAAAAACAAUAAUUUACACGAUAUAUAUUUUUUUCCAUUCUCGUACAUAUGAGCAUAUUUAAGAUGAUUUAUAGAGAAGUAUCAUAUUUAACCUCUCUGUAACACACUCAUUUUAUAGUUAUAUUGUUUUUAUUAUGUUAAAUGUCAUUAUUCUGACAUUUAAAGCACUACUUCUUUAAAAAUAUAAAUUAUUUUUUAUUUUGAUGAAAGUUGAUACAUAUAUAAUAUUUUCAUUUUUAGAAGUUAUUAUUAUUGAAGUUGUUUCCUCCAAUGAUAACAUGUUCUCACCUCAUAUAAUUUCAUAUAUUUUUUAAUUAAAUAAAUUUUAUAUUUUUUAUUUUUAGAUAACUAUAUUAUUGAUAUAUUCACUUCUUUUUAUUUUGAAUAUUCAAUUUGGUUAUAAAAACAAAAAAAUUAUAGAAUUAUUUCAAUUAUGAUUAAAUUAUAUUACUAAAUUACAAAACAAAUUUACAUUUUUUAAAAUUAACUUUAAUAAUAAAUUUUGAUUUUUACUCUUUAUAAACAUUUUUACAAUUAAAUAUAAUAUUAAUAAAUAACAUUUUAUAUUACUAUAAAUAACUAGGAACAUUUUGGUAAUCUUCAAUUUCUACAAAUUAAACUAAUUUUUUAAAUCUGUCACAUCAAUUAAAUCCUGAACUAAUUCUCACAAACUUUAUACUCAAAUUCACUCUCAAUUACCCACAAAUUCACUCAAAAAAAAUAACAAAAAGUUUUUCCUUAAAUCCAUUCAAAUCAUCUCCUCCAAAUCAUCUUUCCUAAAUCUUACUAAACAAACACACCCUUAAUUCUUUAUCCUUAUUCCAGCACAACACACCCCCUUCCCCCUCUUCUCCAUCUUUUUUCCAUUUUCAUUACUCACCUUCACAUUUGUUUUUAACCUUCUUCGAUUUUCGCAAUGGUCAUUUUAUCAUCACUAAAAUAAUUUUUGGAUUAUAUGUUCUAGAAAGUUUUGGGAAUUUCAAAAACAAUAUUUUCAAUUUGGAAGUAUAAAUUACAUUUUAAAAUAAGUUUUUUUUGCCGAAUGUGAUAUAAAAAAUAAACUUUUUGAAUAGCUUAGAACACAUUACACGAUUUCUCUGAAAUAUUCUUCUAUGAAAUGUUUGAAAAAAUGAGUGAGGGUGGGUGACGAAAAUAGAAAGGAGAAAGAGAAAAGGGAGAGGGGGUGGAUGACGGAAAUGGAAAAAAGAAAGAGAAUAGAGGAUGAUUGUUUUGUGCUGGAAUGAGAGUAAAGAAUUAAGAUUUUUAAUUAAAAGUAUAAAAAGUUAAGAGUAAAAGUAAAAAAUCUAAGAAUAUUUUUGAAAAAAAUAUAAAUUAGGGAGGUGUAGGAAGAAAUUGUCGUGGUGGAAAGAGCAACACCCCUCCAAUUUAUUCGGUUAAAACGUUUUUGCAUGUUUCCCAUUGAUUCAUUUGCGAAAAAAAAAAUUGUAUAGCAGUGUUUUAAGCGCAAAUAGAUAUUUAAAUUUAUUAAAAUAUAAAUAAAUAUUAAUUUUGAAUUUUUUUUCCACUAGUAUUUUUUAUAUUUUUAAUUUGAAUGAAAGAAAGUGUAACAAAAAAUAAAAUAUUUUAAUGAAAUAUUUUAAUGUUUAAUUCAAUAGGAAUUUAAAUUUUCAUUAGUACAUGAAAAGAAAGUUCAUACAUUUUAAUAUCUGUUCACUUUCAAAAUCUUGAUUAAACAAAUGAGUCGCAUAAUCUGAGUCUUGAUGUGCAGAACAGAUUGUAAAUAUCAUAUUAAUUUAUGUCAUGAUAUCAAAAUUAUCAUCAAAAUCAACAUCAUUUUCAAAUUCAGAUUCAAUGCAUGUAUGUAGAAAAGAUAGAAAAAAAUGUUCUUUCUUAUGCAAAGAAUCAAAUUCACCAACAACUAUUAAUACCCUGGCAAGUGUACCAGAUCGUAUCAAGUAAUAAUAGACUUAGUAAGUCUAGAUAUCGUUUCCCAAGGAACUCUUAGCCUAGACGUUCAUGUGAAUUGAUUUCAUAAGACUUGAAUGAAUAAUAAUUUGAUUCUGUAAUGCAAAGACAAAAAUAAACAUGUAUGCAAAAGUGUGAUCAAUUGACAGAUAAAGAUAUGGAUGGAUGGUGUUGUUGGGGUUUACGGUUUCAUCCUGAUCCACCUUCUUAUAUCUACUAUUCCUAUUAGAUUCAACUUUAUUAUCAAUGUUCAUGCAAUUUUCUAAUUUACUCUAAACCCGAUCCCUCGGCGAAAAGAUCCUAUUACCAUAAUUACUAGUUUACUAUUCCUAGUCUCCCUAGCAAUUACUAAUGCAUUAAUAACAGAAGCUUAAAGCAAUUGACCGUCCUAUUCCUAUCCCUAGGCAAUAUUUCAUAAUCAAGAGAAUUCUUCUCAGUUCUAGAUUUCCCCAUACGUUCCCAUAUCGACAAAAUCAAAGAUAAUGACAUUGAAUGAGUUAAACAAUGCAAACUUUAAAGUACAAAGAAGAAAACCCAAACUAUUGAUAACGAAAGUAUAUGAAUAAAAUAAGAACUUCGAUAUAAAAGAGUUUCAAAAGGAUUACAUCGUUCCCCAACAACAAAGGGUUUAGUUCACCAUUGUCAUGGUGAAACUAGAUGAAUUGAAUGGAAAGAAUGAAAAGAUAAACCCUAGAUUUGGUAUAUUGGAGUUCCCACAUCUAAAAUCAUCCUCCAAGGGGUGAAAAAAGUGUUUUGUCGUCUUUCUCUGCCAAAAGAUAACUCUAAGGGUCACACAAAUCUAUUUAUAAACUCAGAAAAAUAGUAUAAUUUUGGCCUAGGCCCAUAAGUAUAGGCUCAGCGCUGGGCUACUACUCAGUGGUAGGUGCGACACUCAAAAUAGCGUCCAACGGUGUCGCCCAAGCGAAAAACCGUGAAAAACUGAAAAAACUGGCGCUCAGCACCACCACUCAGCGCUGCCCUAGCACUCAACGUUGCCUUGGCGCUUAGCGCCACCUGCGACACAAAACUACACUCUGGUCAAUUUUUCAGCAUUCUGAUCAACUAGUUGACUUUUCUGGUUGACUGGUUGACUUUUCUGCAUUCUGGUUGACUUUUCUGCACUACAACUCUUUGAUAAUUCAACCCUUCUUUCAAAUCAUUCAAUAAACUUACAAAAUCAAGGGAAACCAAGCAUAAAACCAAAAAAACCAACUUUGACUCUAUUGUUCUCUAACUUAAGAAAAAUGCAUGAUUUCAAGUUAAUUCUAAGCCAAAAAGGGUGUGAUUUAAUAUCAAAAUUAAGUAUGAAAAUAACGAUUUUUCAACCGUUAUCAACAACAUAUUUAUCAAUAAUGUCAUCCAACAUGUCAAUCUUAAGAACAUAAUUGUCCUCAGCUGGAAACUUCAUUGCAUCAAGAAUAUUGAAGUGAACCACAAUAUCAACAAUUUCCAUGGAUAAAGUUCUAGCAUACACAUCAAUCUUGGUUCGGACAGUUUUCAUAAAUGGCCUGCCUAAGAUGAUGGGAGCGGAUCCAUGACAAAAACCCUCCUCCAUUUCCAAAACAUAAAAGUCGUCAGGAAAAAUCAGUUCACCAACCCUAACCAAGACAUCCUCUAUGUAACCUAUUGUGUGGGUAACACUCCUGUUGGCCAACUGAAUGACCACACCUGUAGAUUGCAAAGGACCAAGAGACAAAGAUUUGUAUAUAGACAAAGGCAUGACAUUUAUAGAAGCAACCAAAUCAAGCAUGACAUUUUCAAAUUUACUAUUUCCAAUCACACAAGGAAUGCAAAAUGUACUUGGGUCCUUGCACUUUUCAGGAAUGUGCAGGACCGACCUACCAAUAAGCGCAGAAACAUUCCUACCCAUGUUAAUCCUUGCAUUGUCUUUCAUAUUCCUCUUGUGUGUGCACAACUCCUUCAAGAACUUUGCAUACUUCAGAAUUUGUUUGAUCGCAUCAAGUAGAGGUAUGUUCACCUCUACCUUCCUGAAGGUCUCCAAUAUUUCCUUGUCCACCUCUUCCAUCUUUUUGCUAGGAAUCGCCUUUGGAGGAAAGGGAAGAGGGAUAGGUCGCUCAAGUAAAGGAGAAGAUGCACUGGUGGUAGUGGUGGAAGAAGAAGAAAGUCCACCUGGAAAAGAAGAACAAACACCGGAAGAGGAAGAAGGUUCACCCACCUCAAAUGUCUUGCUUGGACCAACCUGAUCCUCUUUUCUGAGGGGAGUAGUAGAUGUGGACGUAGGUGUGGGAGUUGGCUCUGUGGGCACAACAAUCUGCUUCCCUGAUCUGAAGGUAAUGACGCUCACAUUCUUCGGAUUUUGCACAGUCUGGGAUGGUAACUUAUCUGAACAGGAGGAGGCACAAAUCUAUUAGGACCUACAACGUUCUGGAAAUGUGGUGGUUGUUGUUGUUGUUGUGGGUGUUGUUGUUGAUGAUGUGGAGCAUUGUUCCAUCUAAGAUUAAGGUGAUUCCUCC